This 292-nucleotide ribosomal RNA is filed under the name uncultured bacterium. RNAcentral describes it as "partial 16S ribosomal RNA". It matches the Rfam family "Bacterial small subunit ribosomal RNA", at positions 505 to 796 of the family's 1533-position model. The record is from RNAcentral.
GUGUCAGCAGCCGCGGUAAAACGUAGGAGACAAACGUUAUCCGGAGUUACUGGGCGUAAAGGGCGUGCAGGUGGUCAUUUAAGUUCGGCGUGAAAGCUCCUGGCUAAACCGGGAGAGGUCGUCGGAGACUGGAUGGCUAGAGGGUGAUAGAGGCGGGUGGAAUUCCGGGUGUAGUGGUGAAAUGCGUAGAGAUCCGGAGGAACACCAGUGGCGAAGGCGACCCGCUGGGUCACACCUGACACUGAGACGCGACAGCAUGGGGAGCGAACGGGAUUAGAAACCCUUGUAGUCC